RNAcentral lists this long non-coding RNA (1129 nucleotides) under Anser brachyrhynchus (Pink-footed goose). Its description in RNAcentral is "lncRNA (ENSABRG00000009303.1)". Lineage: Eukaryota; Metazoa; Chordata; Aves; Anseriformes; Anatidae. The record is from RNAcentral.
GUGAGGAGAUCACCAGUUAGCUCGGUAUUGCACUGCAUCCAGGCAGCAGCAAGAGGAUGUUGCAAGGAUGGAGGACCUGGUUGACAUGAAUGCUAAGGAAAGGUUACAGGUUUCAUAAGGAGGAAGGAAGAAAUAGAGGGUGGCAGAGGUGUACUGAGCUAUCCAGAAACACCAUCGCUGAAAACCACCACACACAGGAGAGAAGAGAAGACACAUGCUUGGGCUGAUUGGAUGGCACUGCUAUGUAUUCUGCAAGAAGUAACAGCAGGGAAAGGAUACGAUAUUUUUGAUUCUUUGUUGUUUGCUUGGAACAUUUCAGUUCCUGAACUGUGACACAUAAACCUGCAGGACCAUGUAAAUACCAACUCGUUUUGAGGCAUCAACCAUUCAGACUAUGGACUGAAAGAACAAACACCCUGCACAAGCAGAGAUAGACAGCCUGUAUAGUAUAGUGGAUUAUCUGCUUUGCUCAGCAGCUUGAGGUUUUCCAUUGUGCCACCAUUAUCACAGAAAAACAACAGGAUGGCGUCCCCCUUCAGAAAAUGGGAAGAAAGUUUGCCUACACCUCCUCCAGUCUGUUCAUGACCCCCAACACUGCAAACCCUCAGCCUCACGCAGAACAGUUACAUGACUCCAGAGAAUGAACUAUAUCUAUCUACUAGUGGGAGCUGUGAAUCUUGACAUCACACAGAUUUCUGUUCCCUCUUACCAGAAGAGAAGUUCCCUUUCUUGGCUAUAGAGGAAGAAAAAAAGGUCUCAGAUGUUCCUUCCCUGGCCUAAAACUGGCUGAUUGUAGCUCACACUCCAAGGACAAAGUAUGUGAAAUUUAAGAUGGGUGGGAGUAUAGACCCACCAAAAUGUCCUCUCUUCUCUAUCACCAGCCUGCGUGGAAAUAAGACAAGACCAACACUGCAUUCUAGCGGAAUGUGUUGUGCAAACUCCUUCCAUCCAAGCAAGGGAACAGAGAGGCAUACUUUGCUCUUAGCUCCAUGCAAAGUAGCACAUAUCCUUAUCAUAUCCUACCCAACAGAUUACUGCAAUAUGAGCCAUGAAGGGGACAGAAGAACAUGAAAAACGGCUGACAACAAAUCAAGCCAAAACAUUUCUCUCAAAAUGGAGAAUGAUACAA